GCCCGGGUAGUUAAUUAUAAACACUUAGGUCGUGACCCUAAAAAUAGAGGCUCUCUUCCGGGCU
Molecule: transfer RNA, 64 nt
Filed under: Agama planiceps
Lineage: Eukaryota; Metazoa; Chordata; Lepidosauria; Squamata; Agamidae
Description: tRNA-His
Source: RNAcentral